RNAcentral lists this ribosomal RNA (381 nucleotides) under Priestia megaterium. RNAcentral's name for it is "bacterial SSU rRNA". It matches the Rfam family "Bacterial small subunit ribosomal RNA", at positions 1080 to 1463 of the family's 1533-position model. The record is from RNAcentral. Lineage: Bacteria; Bacillati; Bacillota; Bacilli; Caryophanales; Bacillaceae.
UUAAGUCCCGCAACGAGCGCAACCCUUGAUCUUAGUUGCCAGCAUUCAGUUGGGCACUCUAAGGUGACUGCCGGUGACAAACCGGAGGAAGGUGGGGAUGACGUCAAAUCAUCAUGCCCCUUAUGACCUGGGCUACACACGUGCUACAAUGGAUGGUACAAAGGGCUGCAAGACCGCGAGGUCAAGCCAAUCCCAUAAAACCAUUCUCAGUUCGGAUUGUAGGCUGCAACUCGCCUACAUGAAGCUGGAAUCGCUAGUAAUCGCGGAUCAGCAUGCCGCGGUGAAUACGUUCCCGGGCCUUGUACACACCGCCCGUCACACCACGAGAUUUGUAACACCCGAAGUCGGUGGAGUAACCGUAAGGAGCUAGCCGCCUAAGGU